CCGUGCUAGACGGGGAGGUAGCGGUGCCCUGUACCCGCAAUCCGCUCUAGCGGGGUUGAAUCCCUUCCAGAGGCUGUUCAUUUGUUUGGUCUGCCUCAUGUAAGUGGUGUUGACGUUUGGGUCCUGCGCAAUGGAAAUCCAUGAACCAUGUCAGGUCCGGAAGGAAGCAGCAUUAAGUGGACGCUUCCAUGUGCCGUAGGGCAGCCUGAACUGAGCUAACUGCAUGAGUAACGCUUAUGGGUGGCAGUCGAAGGAAGGUGCACGG
Molecule: signal recognition particle RNA, 265 nt
Filed under: Bacillus chungangensis
Lineage: Bacteria; Bacillati; Bacillota; Bacilli; Caryophanales; Bacillaceae
Description: signal recognition particle sRNA large type
Rfam family: Bacterial large signal recognition particle RNA
About the family: The signal recognition particle (SRP) is a universally conserved ribonucleoprotein involved in the co-translational targeting of proteins to membranes. Archaeal SRP consists of a 7S RNA and homologues of the eukaryotic SRP19 and SRP54 proteins.
Source: RNAcentral